This 448-nucleotide ribosomal RNA is filed under the name uncultured bacterium. RNAcentral's name for it is "partial 16S ribosomal RNA". It matches the Rfam family "Bacterial small subunit ribosomal RNA", at positions 329 to 793 of the family's 1533-position model. The record is from RNAcentral.
UACCAGACUCCUACGGGAGGCAGCAGUCGGGAAUAUUGCGCAAUGGAGGAAACUCUGACGCAGUGACGCCGCGUAUAGGAAGAAGGUUUUCGGAUUGUAAACUAUUGUCCACAGGGAAGAAAAAAGACUGUACCUGUGAAGAAAGCUCCGGCUAACUACGUGCCAGCAGCCGCGGUAAUACGGAGGGUGCGAGCGUUAAUCGGAAUUACUGGGCGUAAAGCGCUCGUAGGCGGUAUGUCAAGUCAAGGGUGAAAUCCCCGCGCUCAACGUGGGAACUGCCUUUGAAACUGGCAAACUGGAGUGUGUGAGAGGAUAGUGGAAUUCCAGGUGUAGGAGUGAAAUCCGUAGAUAUCUGGAGGAACAUCAGUGGCGAAGGCGACUAUCUGGCACAUAACUGACGCUGAGGAGCGAAAGCGUGGGUAGCAAACAGGAUUAGAUACCCGAGUAC